Pelobates cultripes (western spadefoot toad) is the source of this 375-nucleotide non-coding RNA. The record is from the annotation of a GenBank genome assembly. Lineage: Eukaryota; Metazoa; Chordata; Amphibia; Anura; Pelobatidae.
CCUGUAAUGAGUUGAUCCAUUCCUACCAAAAACAAUGGUCCAUCAUUGAUGACAAAAGACCAUAACUAUGUCCCACUGCAGACUGCCUUUUUUGCCAUAAACCUCAGAUGCUAUAAUAAAUGUAGCAUACAUUUUAGACAAAGUUGGUUAUUUUUCAACCUAUAUCAGACUGUCGUAGAUUUGAGAUGGGUGAGUUAACUGCAAUAGGACUGACUUACCUUAAUGGAUACCAGACGGGAAAUUUUCUCCAUUCGGUACAAUGCAAGCCAUUCACUAACUAAUUGACUUUUGUCAAUAGUAAAGAGCAGGAUCGAGUGUAUAAAAAAACUGAACAAAAUUGAGACAAUUGUAAUGAAAUGUUUAUAUCAGUUUAAG